RNAcentral lists this long non-coding RNA (199 nucleotides) under Mustela putorius furo (domestic ferret). RNAcentral's name for it is "lncRNA (ENSMPUG00000026061.1)". The record is from RNAcentral. Lineage: Eukaryota; Metazoa; Chordata; Mammalia; Carnivora; Mustelidae.
CAGGGAUACGUCAGAUUUUCAGUCGGCGGUAAUCCCCAGAGGGGAGCUUCACGCGCAUCUCCCGCCCUUUGGCUCCUCAGCCAAGCAUACACCCCGCAAGACUGGACACAGUGAAAAGGCAGCCUUUGGCAACCAUAAAGAAGGCCCUCACCAGGAACCAAUGAUGCUGGCACCCCGAUUUCAGAUUUUCAGCCUCUAG